This 371-nucleotide long non-coding RNA is filed under the name Fukomys damarensis (Damara mole-rat). RNAcentral describes it as "lncRNA (ENSFDAG00000022618.1)". Lineage: Eukaryota; Metazoa; Chordata; Mammalia; Rodentia; Bathyergidae. The record is from RNAcentral.
AUGCUGAGUCCUCGGCUUCCCUGGCCCGGAAGCAGUUUCAUGCUGACGUUUGUCAGGCAGCGUCUGCUCUGCUUGUCGCCUUGCAGACUUCAGAGGGGGCUCUGGAUGCUUGAUCUUGGACAUCCGGGACUCUCGGGUAGAGCCAACAAAGCUGAGUGUUCCGAGGCAGAACGAAGAAGCGCUGCUCUGGCUGCCGGAGGGCCCAAGCAUGCCCUGUUCUGGCAUGGUGCUUGAUGGGUGCCUGUCGAAGGCAGGAGACCUAAACAGUCCCCACUGAAAACCAGCUUCCCUCAUCCAGAGCCUCGCAGACCCUUCCGCUGUCCCCAUUUCCGGUGACAGAGGAAUUAUGUGUCUUUCCCUGUGUGAUCAGG